GAUCUAACCACUUUCAUAAAUUUCCAUAUAGAAGUAUGUCUCCUCUCUCUCUCUCUGACUCACUCACUCAAAUUUUUAAGUGAAGAGAAAGGGUUCUAAUGUUUGUUGAAUAGGGGAAGAGUCAAACCUUGUACCAUUUGACCUCCGAUUGCAUUUGAAGAGCUGCUUCUAUGAUCUUUAAGGCUGCUAUUGUUUUUUUUUUUUGGACCUCCGAUUGCAUUUGAAGAGCUGCUUCUACGAUCUUUAAGGCCACUCUUGGUUUUUUAUUUUCUUUUGUCGAUAAAAAGCCACUCUUGGUUGAAGCUAGCAGCCGGAUGCAGCGCUGUUCCCCUCUUUAUCUGCUCCCCCAAACAAAAUCUCCCUCGUUGUUGUGAGGUAAUUUCAGUUUUCCUAUUCUCAACAUAUAUUAUAAAAAAUGUGGGUCUGUUGAUAGUCCGCUACUAAUAGUACAAUAUUUUUUCCAUGAGAAUCCACAUAAAGAGCUGCCAUUGGAGAGAUUUCUAGAAUUUUCAUCACCAUCUUUAUCAUGCUUCUUUCUGCUCACUAGAAAUGGUGAAGAUGCCCAAAAUAUAUAAAAAUAAAAUAAAAAAUUAGCUUUUGUUAGUAGUAUGCAUCAGAAUGGCCAUCCC
RNAcentral lists this long non-coding RNA (629 nucleotides) under Elaeis guineensis (African oil palm). RNAcentral describes it as "long non-coding RNA (EGUI_LNC001760)". The record is from RNAcentral. Lineage: Eukaryota; Viridiplantae; Streptophyta; Magnoliopsida; Arecales; Arecaceae.